GAUGAACGCUGGCGGCGUGCCUAAUACAUGCAAGUCGAGCGAACAGAUGAGGAGCUUGCUCCUCUGACGUUAGCGGCGGACGGGUGAGUAACACGUGGAUAACCUACCUAUAAGACUGGGAUAACUUCGGGAAACCGGAGCUAAUACCGGAUAAUAUAUUGAACCGCAUGGUUCAAUAGUGAAAGACGGUUUUGCUGUCACUUAUAGAUGGAUCCGCGCCGCAUUAGCUAGUUGGUAAGGUAACGGCUUACCAAGGCGACGAUGCGUAGCCGACCUGAGAGGGUGAUCGGCCACACUGGAACUGAGACACGGUCCAGACUCCUACGGGAGGCAGCAGUAGGGAAUAUUCCGCAAUGGGCGAAAGCCUGACGGAGCAACGCCGCGUGAGUGAUGAAGGUCUUCGGAUCGUAAAACUCUGUUAUUAGGGAAGAACAAAUGUGUAAGUAACUAUGCACGUCUUGACGGUACCUAAUCAGAAAGCCACGGCUAACUACGUG
This 497-nucleotide ribosomal RNA is filed under the name uncultured bacterium. RNAcentral's name for it is "partial 16S ribosomal RNA". It matches the Rfam family "Bacterial small subunit ribosomal RNA", at positions 28 to 507 of the family's 1533-position model. The record is from RNAcentral.